AGCAGCCGCGGUAAUUCCAGCUCCAAUAGCGUAUAUUAAAGUUGUUGCAGUUAAAAAGCUCGUAGUUGAAUUUCGGGGUUCUACCGUUGGUCGGGCUUUGUCUGUACUGGCGUGUAGAAUUUCUACCUUCUGGGGAACCAUCAUGUUAUUAAUUUAACGUGGUGGGAAACCAGGACCUUUACCUUGAAAAAAUUAGAGUGUUCAAAGCAGGCUUUAUGUCUGAAUACAUUAGCAUGGAAUAAUAAAAUAGGACGGUGGUCCUGUUUUGUUGGUUUCUGAAUCACCGUAAUGAUUAAUAGGGAUAGUUGGGGGCAUUAGUAUUCAAUUGUCAGAGGUGAAAUUCUUGGAUUUAUUGAAGACUAACUUCUGCGAAAGCAUUUGCCAAGGAUGUUUUCAUUAAUCAAGAACGAAAGUUAGGGGAUCGAAGACGAUCAGAUACCGUCGUAGUCUUAACCAUAAACUAUGCCGACUAGGGAUCAGACGAUGUUAAUUUUUAAUGACUCAUUC
Molecule: ribosomal RNA, 507 nt
Filed under: Racocetra fulgida
Lineage: Eukaryota; Fungi; Glomeromycota; Glomeromycetes; Diversisporales; Gigasporaceae
Description: SSU rRNA
Rfam family: Eukaryotic small subunit ribosomal RNA
Source: RNAcentral